UGAGGAAUAUUGGGCAAUGCCCGCAAGGGUGACCCAGCAACGCCGCGUGGAGGAUGAAUGUCGUAAGAUUGUAAACUCCUGUUAGAGGGGAAGAAUAGUACCGGUUGGACCGGUAUAUGACUGUACCCUCAGAGAAAGCCCCGGCUAACUACGUGCCAGCAGCCGCGGUAAUACGUAGGGGGCAAGCGUUGUCCGGAUUUACUGGGUGUAAAGGGCGCGCAGGCGGGAUAAAAAGUCAGUGGUGAAAUCCUACAGCUUAACUGUAGAACUGCCUGUGAUACUUUUAUUCUUGAGUUCGGGAGAGAGAGACGGAAUUCCAGGUGUAGUGGUGAAAUACGUAGAUAUCUGGAAGAACACCAGUUGCGAAGGCGGUCUCUUGGUCCGACACUGACGCUGAGGCGCGAAAGCGUGGGGAGCAAACA
RNAcentral lists this ribosomal RNA (422 nucleotides) under uncultured bacterium. RNAcentral describes it as "bacterial SSU rRNA". It matches the Rfam family "Bacterial small subunit ribosomal RNA", at positions 355 to 774 of the family's 1533-position model. The record is from RNAcentral.